This 76-nucleotide transfer RNA is filed under the name Maricaulis virginensis. RNAcentral describes it as "tRNA-Lys". It matches the Rfam family "tRNA". From Rfam's summary of the family: Transfer RNA (tRNA) molecules are approximately 80 nucleotides in length. RNAcentral also lists the same sequence under 13 other names. The record is from RNAcentral. Lineage: Bacteria; Pseudomonadati; Pseudomonadota; Alphaproteobacteria; Maricaulales; Maricaulaceae.
GCGCCUAUAGCUCAGUUGGUAGAGCAGCUGACUCUUAAUCAGCGGGUCCAAGGUUCGAAUCCUUGUGGGCGCACCA